This 1445-nucleotide long non-coding RNA is filed under the name Heterocephalus glaber (naked mole-rat). Its description in RNAcentral is "lncRNA (ENSHGLG00000034729.1)". The record is from RNAcentral. Lineage: Eukaryota; Metazoa; Chordata; Mammalia; Rodentia; Bathyergidae.
GAAAGUUGUAUAUUAGGUUGUUCCAAACUCAGAUUAUAUUUCCCAUAUAAAUUCUAUUAUAAUGAAUAAUAAGGAUAACAGCCAGCAAAAGCUAACCUAGUACAUAGUACACUCUAGAAUUACUUUAGCCAUCUUGUUUUUGGUUAAAUUUUUACAGUAGAAAAAGCUAACUUGAAUCUCAGUGACUCUGGUAUACUUCUUCCAAGGUGAUGUGUUUGUGAUACCCCGAGCCUUGCCUGUGUCUGACCUGCUCCUCAAAUACCACAUCCCCAAAACCUUUCUGCUUCUGCCUGCCCCGGUCUCAAAUAUCCAUAUUAGUACUUCCAAACUGUGACCCAUCUCAUGUGUUCAGAAAAAGAAAUUUGCUUUAACUCAUUUAUAUUAAAGUGUUAAUGACUCUAGCCCUUUUUUCUCAGUUAGAGAAAUCUGCAUGAAAAACACAUAUGUUGGGCCAGGGAUUUAGCUCAGUGGUUCUGCCGCCUGCCUUGCAAGCGCAAGGUCCUGAGUUUGAUCCCCGGUACUAAAACAAAGAAAGAAAUAUGUUGCUGUUGGCACAAAAUUAUCUCAGUGAGCAAAAAAUUAAACUUUAAAACAAAAGUGAGGAUUAUUUUGUUGGUGUUGAUGAGACUAUCUUGAGGCAAGAUGUAUCCUAAAGUGACCUCAGUUGGAAUGCUCCCCCUUGCCCUGAAGCCAUGUGAUGUCAGAAAAUACGCCUACGCCAGUGCCCUUUAAGAAGGGAGCAGGUCACUGUAUGUGUGCGUCUUGUGAAGUCAGCCUGCUGGUGCUUUUUUUCUCCUUCAAUUAAGGUGGCGUCUGGUGCAUCCCAGAUUUCCCUCAUCACAUCUUCUAUAAGACUGUGUUUCCAUCUCAUUCUACCUCACCUCACAGUAAGUCUCUCUUCCAGCUCUGGUCAUUGGUAGGAAAUUUACAGGUGAACACUGUCCAUGCUGAUAAAGUCCCCAUUUUACUGUUACCCACAAUUUGUCAAGAGAUGUAAGGGUAGGAAAGGUAGUCCUUUUUAUUCUAAAAAAUUAUUAUUUCUAAAAUAGCUGGCACUUAGCAAUUUAGUUUCUUCAAAUUCUAUACUGAAUUAAAUUGCUGAGGCGAUUCUACAUGGAUUCUGAAAUCUAGUUAAUGCUUACGCUGAAGACUUGUAUUUCGUGGCAUUAGUUCUCCAUGCUCCCUCUGCAUACAUUCGCCGGAAGUGCCCGUGCGUUUCCAGGUGAGGGCGCCGCCGUGGAGUCUGUGCAGGGCAAGUGCACUGGGUUGGGCAUGCGCCGUGCUUCUCACUAGCUGGUUGUGCUCUGCACUCUGCUCUCGUAGAUUUAUUUUGUUUACAGUAGACCGAUGUCCGCUUUUGUAAAUGUUUUUUUCUUAGCACUUUAACUGUGAGUGUACAAACGUAAAUGUAGUGGUUGUAUAUUUUGGUUAUAAACUGGAAGUUU